This 393-nucleotide ribosomal RNA is filed under the name Triticum aestivum (bread wheat). RNAcentral describes it as "partial small subunit ribosomal RNA". Lineage: Eukaryota; Viridiplantae; Streptophyta; Magnoliopsida; Poales; Poaceae. The record is from RNAcentral.
AUGCAUGCAUGCAUGGCGACACUUCAGACCAGAACUCCAUUUUUGCGCCACUUUUUCUCCUCGAAUCUUGAGCUGACACCAGUACUAUAUUCCAAGCUACUUGGUGUACCUACAAUUGUUAAAAUACGACCGACCGAGCACGCGAUGUGCUCGUGUAAGUAUAUUUGGAAGUUUUGCCGAGCAAGACCGCCAACGGUCGAGUUCCGUUGGAAAGCUAGCAGUACACAUGUAUACACUUUCUUGUGGGAAUGUGGGAUUAUCCAUAACCCCUUUCCUAUACUAUAUCGAGAUAUUUACAUAUCACCGAUUAAUUUACUAAUGUGCGAGCAGCAUUGUACUCCCUCCGUUUCGAAUUACUUGUCGCAGGUAUGGAUGUAUCUAGAUGUAUUUUAA